This 263-nucleotide long non-coding RNA is filed under the name Vitis vinifera (wine grape). Its description in RNAcentral is "long non-coding RNA (VVIN_LNC004225)". The record is from RNAcentral. Lineage: Eukaryota; Viridiplantae; Streptophyta; Magnoliopsida; Vitales; Vitaceae.
AAAAUAAAAAAUAAAAAUUACAAAUCACACAAUAAUAAAAAAGCAAAUAGAAAUUAUGCCAUUUAAAAAAUGAAAACAAACAUGGUCAAUCAUAUUGCAUUUACAAGGUAGAAUAUUGGCCCAUACAAUUUAAAAAAAUUUGAAUCUUCAAUCUCAUGCAUAUUUUUAAAAAGACAAUAAAAAUAAAAUAAAAACAUCAAGCACAUGCAAUCCUCUAUCAAAAUAUUAAACUAAAUGUAAUAGAAAGUGAGGAAAGAAAUAUC